CCUACGGGAGGCAGCAGUGAGGAAUAUUGGUCAAUGGGCGGGAGCCUGAACCAGCCAAGCCGCGUGAGGGAAGAAGGUACAGCGUAUCGUAAACCUCUUUUGUCAGGGAACAAAGGCGGGGACUAGUCCCCGGAUGAGGGUACCUGAAGAAAAAGCAUCGGCUAACUCCGUGCCAGCAGCCGCGGUAAUACGGAGGAUGCGAGCGUUAUCCGGAUUUAUUGGGUUGAAGGGGUGCGCAGGCGGCCUGUUAAGUCAGCGGUAAAAGCCCGGGGCUCAACCCCGGCGAGCCGUUGAAACUGGCGGGCUGGAGUUGGAGAGAAGUACGCGGAAUGCGCGGUGUAGCGGUGAAAUGCUUAGAUAUCGCGCAGAACCCCGAUGGCGAAGGCAGCGUACCGGCUCCACACUGACGCUGAGGCACGAAAGCGUGGGUAGCGAACAGGAUUAGAUACCCCUGUAGUC
Molecule: ribosomal RNA, 459 nt
Filed under: uncultured bacterium
Lineage: Bacteria
Description: partial 16S ribosomal RNA
Rfam family: Bacterial small subunit ribosomal RNA
Source: RNAcentral